RNAcentral lists this ribosomal RNA (253 nucleotides) under uncultured bacterium. RNAcentral's name for it is "partial 16S ribosomal RNA". It matches the Rfam family "Bacterial small subunit ribosomal RNA", at positions 524 to 776 of the family's 1533-position model. The record is from RNAcentral.
GACAGAGGGUGCAAACGUUGCUCGGAAUUACUGGGCGUAAAGCGCGUGUAGGCGGGAAGAUAAGUCGGGUGUGAAAUCCCUGGGCUCAACCUAGGAACUGCAUUCGAAACUGUCUUUCUGGAGUGAUGGAGAGGAAAGCGGAAUCCCCGGUGUAGAGGUGAAAUUCGUAGAUAUCGGGAGGAACACCAGUGGCGAAGGCGGCUUUCUGGUCUGUAACUGACGCUGAGGCGCGAAAGCGUGGGGAGCAAACAGG